This 1404-nucleotide long non-coding RNA is filed under the name Coturnix japonica (Japanese quail). RNAcentral describes it as "lncRNA (ENSCJPG00005019985.1)". Lineage: Eukaryota; Metazoa; Chordata; Aves; Galliformes; Phasianidae. The record is from RNAcentral.
AUGCGCAGAGCGGGCGGGGGUCGCGGCGGGGCCGGGGGCUGCGCGGAGCGGAGCGGGGCCGGAGCGUGCGGUUCCGGGCGAGUCAGCCCUCAGCCAUUUUGCGCUGCCCUAUUGGAGAGCGGAGCGCAGCGCAGGGAAACGAGGAAAAAAAAAGGGAAAAAAAAAGGAAAAAGAAAAAAAAGAGGCCGACCCCCCCCCGCCCCCUCCCGUCGGAAGAACGUCGCCUCGCCGCCGCUCCCUGCCCCCGCCCCGCUGGGGGCUGCGGGCUCCGGCCCCGUGUCCCCGCGUCCCGUCGGGGCCGCUCGGCACAGAUCAGCUCGGUACAGCUCAGCUCAGCUCGGCACAGCACAGCUCAGCACAGCCCCCCGCGGCCGCCCCCGCCGCCUCCUGCCAUCUUGCGCUGCCCGGCGGCCCCACGCCCGGCCUUCCUCCCGCCGCCCCCGGGAGGCGGCCGCGGCCGGCGGGGGGAGGAGGGGGGGGGAGCGGAUCCCCGGGAGCUGCGGGGUUGGGGCGGGGGGAGAGAGCGGGGCGGCGCCUCGGAGCCGGCUCAGCCCCGGCGCUGGGGGCCCGGAGGGGCGGCCAUGGGGGCGGCGGCCGCGGGGAGACAGCGACCGGGGGCGGGGGGAGGCGGGCGCGUCCCGCCCCGGAGCCGCAGCCGCUGAGUUGCCGGUGGGGCCGACGGGCGCUGCCGCCACCGCCUCGGAGCCGCCCCGCGCUGCGCUGCGCUGCGAGCCGGCACGGAACGGCACGGCCAGAUACGGCACGGCCCGACACGCGUCACCGCGGUCCGCCCCGACGGCGGGCGGUGCUGCCUUAAAGCGGCGAUGGAGCUGCGGGGCCACGAGCGGCAUGGCCAAGACAAUGUCCCUGGAUGAACAGCAACAAAACCCACCCAGCUCCUUGCACAUCCCUUCCCUCCCCCACCUUCAGCUUCCACCCUUCCCCUCUCUGGCCUUAAAGGAAUUUAUUACGGAGGAGCAUAAAGAAGAUGACAGCAAAACCGUUCAGUGUUACUGGGAACUCAUCGCACCGUUAGCACAGCACUAUCUCAUCCCAGCACCCACAGAGAAGGACACGGAGAAGUACGCAAAUACCUUUAAUGCACUUAGGAUACAAGGGAGGAGAAAAAACGUUUAGUGAUCCACAAAAAUAUUACAAAAGUCACGUGCAGGCGAAACGUACCCGGCACUGAAAUAACCAUGUAAGAAUUUACAUUAGAAACUAAUAUAAAAUAUUUUAAAACCUCUGCUAGUUUAGCUUUCUGUUUUGUCUUUUAUUUAAAAAAAAAAACAAAAAACAAAAAACAAAACAAAAAAACACAACAAAAAACAACAAAAAAACCAAAAGAAAGCAGGGAGUGGGGUGGGGAAUAAAGGCCAUCUCCAAGGUCCCGACGUGUCGCCG